CUCUUUGUAAAAUAUUUAAAGUCUGGUCUGCCCUGGAGGAUUUUAACGGCCGCAGUAUUUUAACUGUGCUAAGGUAGCAUAAUCAUUAGUUUUUUAAUUGAAAGCUGGAAUGAAGGGUUGGAUGAAAAAAUAAUUGUCUCUAUUAAAUUUAUUUAGAAAUUUAUUUUUAAGUUAAAAAGCUUAAAUAGGUUUAAAAGACGAGAAGACCCUAUAGAGUUUUAUUUUGAAAUUUAAUUAAUAAUUUUAGUAUUAAAUUUUAUUGUUUUAAUAAGAAUUUAAUUGGGGUGAUUUAAAAAUUUAAUAAACUUUUUUAUAUAGGUAUAUUUAUAAAUAAAUAGUUGAUCCAAAGAAAAUUUGAUUAUAAGAUUAAAUUACCUUAGGGAUAACAGCGUAAUUUUAUUAGAGAGUUCAAAUUGAAAAUAAAGAUUGCGACCUCGAUGUUGGAUUAAAA
This 451-nucleotide ribosomal RNA is filed under the name Alticini sp. IBE-JGZ-00988. RNAcentral describes it as "partial 16S ribosomal RNA". Lineage: Eukaryota; Metazoa; Arthropoda; Insecta; Coleoptera; Chrysomelidae. The record is from RNAcentral.